CGUAAAGCGAAGGUAGUGCUUCUCUCUUGACGAUGGUUGUUUUUGUUCUACGACAUAUCGACCUAUCCUGUGCUGUUGCAAUUUGUUGAUAUCUGUUUUUUAGUCCCUAAACUGUUGACUUAUGCACAUUAAAUCGAGCCAAGACGUCAGCAACACUCAUGUCGGCAUCAACCAUUCCAAGAGCCAUCUGACGGUCAUUUUCGGAGAGGCCUGAUUGACGUCCCAUGCAAUUUUUUCAAACGUUUAUGUGUUUUUCUUACCAAUGGUGUGUUUCUGAACGCUGGUGCAAAAAAAAUUAAAUUUCGUUUUAAAAGUAUAAGUACAGAAGGUAAAACAUCAAUUACACGCGCAAAGCUGAAAUGGCGCGAAAUUAAUCACGUGGAAAAAAGUACGACUGCUUAAAAAUCCAGAUAAAACUAAGGAUUAUAUCAAUGAUGUUUGAUAAAAAAAAACAACAAAAACAACCAAA
RNAcentral lists this long non-coding RNA (469 nucleotides) under Mytilus galloprovincialis (Mediterranean mussel). Lineage: Eukaryota; Metazoa; Mollusca; Bivalvia; Mytilida; Mytilidae. The record is from RNAcentral.